AUGAUUGCAAGACCUUCGGGAAUCCUAUAUAAAUAUCGAACUACCCCACACCCAUUUCUUGACACCUCAGUCCGAUAAGACUUUUCGACACCCUCACAAACCCACAACCUUUUACCAUCCUCUGUUUAACCCGCAACAUCUUUUCGCUCAAACCGCAUACUCGUCGGAGAAGUCGGGUCGUCGCCGGAGAGUUACGGGCCUCGCCGGACCUGCAAGUGGUCGGAGACGUACCGACGCCGGAGUUUACGGAGACCACGACGGAGUCUCGUUCCCGUAUCAGUUCGGGAAAUCCCGUUCGUUCUCUUGGACUAUUCUCAUCUUUACUCGUGCGUACUUACAAGAAAUCGCAACGCAAUCGAUUUGAACGUGUUAAUCUCAAUGCUCUUGAGUCUUGGGGUAUUGCGAUGUUGAACGAUAUGUGAACCAUAUGUGAACGAUGUUGAACGAUAUGUGAACGAUAUGUGAACGAUGUUGAACGAUGUUGAACGAUGUUGAACGAUAUUGAAUGACAAAGUAGUAACAUGUAUCAUUUUAUUCAUGUUGGAUAUGAGUACAUUUUAAACAUUUUAUUCUACUAUGCUAUGUAUCAAACU
This 593-nucleotide long non-coding RNA is filed under the name Helianthus annuus (common sunflower). The record is from RNAcentral. Lineage: Eukaryota; Viridiplantae; Streptophyta; Magnoliopsida; Asterales; Asteraceae.